Molecule: unclassified non-coding RNA, 400 nt
Filed under: uncultured bacterium
Lineage: Bacteria
Description: contains 16S-23S intergenic spacer region
Source: RNAcentral
UGUUCAUUGCAUAGUUAGGGUAGUUUGCUCCUCUUGCUUCAAGAGGUAAUCCUUCGUCUCCUCUAAUUGAGAAUACGUUUGCUGCACCACACUGGUCUUGCAAGUCGUAACCGUAGAAACCAAGUCUGGAGUGCUGUUCUUUGUGUAAGUACAUGGAUAAGUACCAUGCGCUUAAACCAGUUUGAGCGUUUCCAGUAGCGAAAGCUGUUGAACAACCUGCUGCUGCUGCAACAAUUGAUGCUCUUUGUGAUCCACCGAAUAUGGUUUCUAAGAGUGCUGGGUAGUCUUCGAACUGUUCAAGUGCGUAGAAUGUUACUUCUGAACCUACAUCAAGGACUGUUUCCAUGGUGUUAGGUGCUUCUGUCAUUCCGUAUUUGUCUUCUACGUAUUCUUGACCGAA